AAAAAAAGACCUCCUUCCCCUCACAUUCGUUUUUCGCUUCUUUCUGUCUCCCCGACACUCUUCACUUUUCCUCUUCACCUUCGUUUUCUUCCUCCUCACUCAUCACCUUAGUCUCCUCGCCGCCGGAGAUCAUCGUCGAACCUCUUUAUCGGCGGCUGCUUAGUUGUUCUUUGUUGUUGUGGUGUUGAUUUUUACAGUAGCUUCUCUCUCCUCAUCUCUUGUCUUUGCACUCUCUCUCGCCUCCAGUCUGCACCACCGCCGUCAAUGGUGGUCGUAAAUCCUUCAUCAACUGUAAUCAAUUAUCAAUUGGUAAACUCUUUAACCCAUUCCACAAAUCAAUGAUAUUGUAAAUUAAAUUUCCCAAUUGACCAAACCCUAACUUUCUCUACUUAGAUUCUUUAUCUCCUAUUGUUCGGUGCACCACUUCCUCUGUCGUCGGAGCCGUGUUGUGGUGGUGGUGAUGCCCACCUUGUGGGUUGUUCGUUGACUUGUCGUUGUGGCUCUACUCUACCCAUGUUGUCCCCUGCCUCGUCUCUUCUGGAGCUUUAUGGGUUGCCGUAGUUGCAGUUGCUUUUGGUGUUGUCGAUUGCGUGUUGGUUAUCUCUCCCAUGUCCUCUUUAUUCCUCCAUUUAAUUUAAUGGUGAAUCAUGUCCCAACAGCAAGUCAUCGAAUUCGACUAUAUGGCUGAUGAGCAGGAUGUGGCAGAAUUCAUUGAUGUUAUUGUGAGUUCUUUUUGGGAAAUGGGAUAUUGAAUAUUUACUUAUUUUGGUGUGAUUAGGAACGUAAGUCAAAAGAGAAAGGUGGAAGUUACUAUGAGUUCUUUUACCAUUCAAGACUGGUCAAGGGUAUUCAAUAAUCUGAGGGAGCGGCCUUUCACCUUUGAAGAGAUAGAUGAAGUUCAAGAAAUGUUGUCAAAUUUCAUUACCAGUGAUUGUCUUUGAUAUUUUCUUGUACUGAAUCUUAAAUUAUGGAGGCAAGUUUUUCAUAUGAUUGUAAUGUAAUCGACUUUUAUAUUUACAGUUAUAUACUAUUUAAUUUAAUUAUCUAUAUAAGUGUAUACUUUUUA
This is a long non-coding RNA of Spinacia oleracea (spinach), 1066 nucleotides long. RefSeq lists it as uncharacterized. The transcript has 3 exons. The record is from RefSeq and is a predicted model, not a curated record. NCBI's taxonomy places the organism in Eukaryota, Viridiplantae, Streptophyta, Magnoliopsida, Caryophyllales, Amaranthaceae.